Molecule: unclassified non-coding RNA, 307 nt
Filed under: Hevea brasiliensis (rubber tree)
Lineage: Eukaryota; Viridiplantae; Streptophyta; Magnoliopsida; Malpighiales; Euphorbiaceae
Source: RNAcentral
AGGUAUCAGUUGAUAAAACGUAGCACUGUUUCAUCAAUAAUUUACAGCAAGCAUAGACCACCUAGAGAAUCUGAUGGCUAAAGUUGAUAAUGUGAAUCCACAAGGAAAUCACUAAAAGAAAACUCUUCUCUGCAAACGGAAUUCAGUAAGCUAGGGCUAAUCCCGUAAGCAUUGAGUUAUUGCACCAUGGGAAUUGCUCCUCCAGCUGCUACAAUCUGCUGCUCCAACUCGAAUAAAGUUUGGAGUUUGUUCUUCACAAGCAAGUACUCCUGUUUUAUUUGUUGCAAGCAUCUCAAGCACGCUUCAG